GACGAACGCUGGCGGCGUGCUUAACACAUGCAAGUCGAGCGGAAAGGCCCUUCGGGGUACUCGAGCGGCGAACGGGUGAGUAACACGUGAGCAACCUGCCCCAUGCUUUGGGAUAACCCUCGGAAACGGGGGCUAAUACCGAAUAUUCACUACAGGUCGCAUGGUUUGUGGUGGAAAGUUUUUCGGCGUGGGAUGGGCUCGCGGCCUAUCAGCUUGUUGGUGGGGUAAUGGCCUACCAAGGCGACGACGGGUAGCCGGCCUGAGAGGGCGACCGGCCACACUGGGACUGAGACACGGCCCAGACUCCUACGGGAGGCAGCAGUGGGGAAUAUUGCACAAUGGGCGGAAGCCUGAUGCAGCGACGCCGCGUGAGGGAUGACGGCCUUCUGGUCGUAAGUUCUGUUGUGGGGGAAGAAGGUCAGUC
Molecule: ribosomal RNA, 424 nt
Filed under: uncultured bacterium
Lineage: Bacteria
Description: bacterial SSU rRNA
Rfam family: Bacterial small subunit ribosomal RNA
Source: RNAcentral